GAUGAACGCUGGCGGCGUGCUUAACACAUGCAAGUCGAACGGUGAAGGCGGAGCUUGCUCUGCUGGAUCAGUGGCGAACGGGUGAGUAACACGUGAGCAAUCUGCCCCUGACUCUGGGAUAAGCGCUGGAAACGGCGUCUAAUACUGGAUACGAGCUGCGAAGGCAUCUUCAGCAGCUGGAAAGAAUUUCGGUCAGGGAUGAGCUCACGGCCUAUCAGCUUGUUGGUGAGGUAAUGGCUCACCAAGGCGUUGACGGGUAGCCGGCCUGAGAGGGUGACCGGCCACACUGGGACUGAGACACGGCCCAGACUCCUACGGGAGGCAGCAGUGGGGAAUAUUGCACAAUGGGCGAAAGCCUGAUGCAGCAACGCCGCGUGAGGGACGACGGCCUUCGGGUUGUAAACCUCUUUUAGCAGGGAAGAAGCGAAAGUGACGGUACCUGCAGAAAAAGCGCCGGCUAACUACGUG
Molecule: ribosomal RNA, 468 nt
Filed under: uncultured bacterium
Lineage: Bacteria
Description: partial 16S ribosomal RNA
Rfam family: Bacterial small subunit ribosomal RNA
Source: RNAcentral